UUGCAAUGCAUUCUGGGUACAUUAAUGCUAACUCCUAGCCAACCCUUUCAAUUUGAACCGGAGUGCGUUGAAAUAUGAGGCAAUGCAGAAACGACCAGAGGAAAUGAAGAUGGAAAUCGGAGGAAAAGGAAAAAGUCGGAAAGGUUUCGGUUGCUUACCUGUAAGAGCUUGACUUUCUAACUCUGUUUACGGUUGUAGCUGCAGUGAGUGACAGCAUGAACAUUUACUGCACUGUUGGCGUCAGCUUUGAGACUUUCCGUACACACGCGUUGGGACGGACAAACCUGCAACCCAGAGACGAAGACAAUUAAAAUGUUCGCCUGUUUGGAUUAUGAUGCUUUCAGGAUAUUUUGUAGAAAAUUAUCACCUAAAUAAUAAAUAAAUUUGUUGCCACCAUGUCAU
Molecule: long non-coding RNA, 402 nt
Organism: Poecilia latipinna (sailfin molly)
Lineage: Eukaryota; Metazoa; Chordata; Actinopteri; Cyprinodontiformes; Poeciliidae
Exons: 3
Source: RefSeq, a predicted model, not a curated record